UACGUAGGGUGCGAGCGUUAAUCGGAAUUACUGGGCGUAAAGCGUGCGCAGGCGGUUUUGUAAGCCAGGUGUGAAAUCCCCGGGCUCAACCUGGGAAUGGCAUUUGGGACUGCAAGGCUGGAGUGCGGCAGAGGAGACUGGAAUUCCUGGUGUAGCGGUGGAAUGCGCAGAUAUCAGGAAGAACACCCGUGGCGAAGGCGGCUCUCUGGGACGGUACUGACGCUGAGACGCGAAAGCGUGGGGAGCGAACAGG
RNAcentral lists this ribosomal RNA (253 nucleotides) under uncultured bacterium. RNAcentral describes it as "partial 16S ribosomal RNA". It matches the Rfam family "Bacterial small subunit ribosomal RNA", at positions 524 to 776 of the family's 1533-position model. The record is from RNAcentral.